CCUACGUGAGGCAGCAGUGAGGAAUAUUGGUCAAUGGGCGCGAGCCUGAACCAGCCAAGUCGCGUGAGGGAAGACGGCCCUACGGGUUGUAAACCUCUUUUGCCGGGGAGCAACGGGCGCCACGUGUGGCGCCACUGAGAGUACCCGGAGAAAAAGCAUCGGCUAACUCCGUGCCAGCAUCCGCGGUAAUACGGAGGAUGCGAGCGUUAUCCGAAUUUAUUGGUUUUAAAGGGUGCGUAGGCGGAGCGUUAAGUCAGUGGUCAAAUUGAGGGGCUCAACCCGUUCCCGCCAUUGAAACUGGCGCUCUUGAGGGGAAGAGAAGUAGGCGGAAUGCGUGGUGUAGCGGUGAAAUGCAUAGAUAGCACGCAGAACCUCGAUUGCGAAGGCAGCAUGCCGGCUUCCUACUGACGCUGAAGCACGAAAGCGUGGGGAUCGAACAGGAUUAGAUACCCCUGUAGUC
RNAcentral lists this ribosomal RNA (460 nucleotides) under uncultured bacterium. Its description in RNAcentral is "partial 16S ribosomal RNA". It matches the Rfam family "Bacterial small subunit ribosomal RNA", at positions 338 to 795 of the family's 1533-position model. The record is from RNAcentral.